This 490-nucleotide ribosomal RNA is filed under the name uncultured bacterium. RNAcentral's name for it is "partial 16S ribosomal RNA". It matches the Rfam family "Bacterial small subunit ribosomal RNA", at positions 28 to 507 of the family's 1533-position model. The record is from RNAcentral.
GAUGAACGCUAGCGAUAGGCUUAACACAUGCAAGUCGAGGGGCAGCAUGGUCUUAGCUUGCUAAGACUGAUGGCGACCGGCGCACGGGUGCGUAACGCGUAUGCAACUUGCCUCACAGAGGGGGAUAACCCGUCGAAAGACGGACUAAUACCGCGUACACUCCAUCUUGGGCAUCCAAGGUAGAGGAAAUGAAAUUCGCUGUGAGAUAGGCAUGCGUCCCAUUAGCUAGUUGGUGAGGUAACGGCUCACCAAGGCGACGAUGGGUAGGGGAACUGAGAGGUUGAACCCCCACACUGGUACUGAGACACGGACCAGACUACUACGGGAGGCAGCAGUGAGGAAUAUUGGUCAAUGGGCGAGAGCCUGAACCAGCCAAGUCGCGUGAAGGAUGACUGUCUUAUGGAUUGUAAACUUCUUUUAUACGGGAAUAACAAGAGUCACGUGUGGCUCCCUGCAUGUACCGUAUGAAUAAGCAUCGGCUAACUCCGUG